GCCCGGGUGGCUCAGUUGGUUAAGCAUCUGACUUCGGGUCAGGUCAUGAUCUUGCAGUUCACGGGUUCAAGCCCCGCAUCGGGCU
Molecule: transfer RNA, 85 nt
Filed under: Felis catus (domestic cat)
Lineage: Eukaryota; Metazoa; Chordata; Mammalia; Carnivora; Felidae
Rfam family: tRNA
About the family: Transfer RNA (tRNA) molecules are approximately 80 nucleotides in length. Their secondary structure includes four short double-helical elements and three loops (D, anti-codon, and T loops).
Source: Rfam by way of RNAcentral